UACAGAGGGUGCGAGCGUUGUCCGGAAUCACUGGGCGUAAAGGGCGCGUAGGCGGUCUCUUAAGCGUGUGGUGAAAGCCCGGGGCUCAACUCCGGGUCGGCCGUGCGAACUGGGGGACUGGAGCUUGUCAGAGGCAGGCGGAAUUCCGGGUGUAGCGGUGGAAUGCGUAGAGAUCCGGAAGAACACCGGUGGCGAAGGCGGCCUGCUGGGACAGUGCUGACGCUGAGGCGCGACAGCGUGGGGAGCAAUCCGG
This 253-nucleotide ribosomal RNA is filed under the name uncultured bacterium. RNAcentral's name for it is "partial 16S ribosomal RNA". It matches the Rfam family "Bacterial small subunit ribosomal RNA", at positions 524 to 776 of the family's 1533-position model. The record is from RNAcentral.